GAUGAAGAACGUAGCGAAAUGCGAUAAGUAAUGUGAAUUGCAGAGUUCAGUGAAUCAUCGAAUCUUUGAACGCACAUUGCGCCCGCCAGUAUUCUGGCGGGCAUGCCUGUCCGAGCGUCAUUUCAACCCUCGAACCCCUCCGGGGGGUCGGCGUUGGGGAUCGGCCCUGCCUCUUGGCGGUGGCCGUCUCCGAAAUACAGUGGCGGUCUCGCCGCAGCCUCUCCUGCGCAGUAGUUUGCACACUCGCAUCGGGAGCGCGGCGCGUCCACAGCCGUUAAACACCCAACUUCUGAAAUGUUGACCUCGGAUCAGGUAGGAAUACCCGCUGAACUUAAGCAUAUCAAUAAGCGGAGGA
RNAcentral lists this unclassified non-coding RNA (355 nucleotides) under soil metagenome. RNAcentral's name for it is "partial contains 5.8S ribosomal RNA, internal transcribed spacer 2, and large subunit ribosomal RNA". The stretch from base 1 to 120 matches the Rfam family "5.8S ribosomal RNA", at positions 35 to 154 of the family's 154-position model. The record is from RNAcentral.